GAACGCGAUAGCCUGCUUGGUGGAGACCCGGUGCGCCUGCGUACUUCAUAGUUCGCGUUAGCGGCUCGAGCCUGGAGAUGAAGCGUAUUUUCUCACUGCUAGAAAAGACUUGGCUUGGCGCACCAAUACAGUUUGCCUGGCAAAAAACAUCAGGAAACUACCUUGCAGUAACAGGAGCUGAUUAUAUUGUGAAAAUCUUUGAUCGCCAUGGUCAAAAAAGAAGUGAAAUUAACUUACCUGGUAACUGUGUUGCCAUGGAUUGGGAUAAAGAUGGAGAUGUCCUAGCAGUGAUUGCUGAGAAAUCUAGCUGCAUUUAUCUUUGGGAUGCCAACACAAAUAAGACCAGCCAGUUAGACAAUGGCAUGAGGGAUCAAAUGUCUUUCCUUCUUUGGUCAAAAGUUGGAAGUUUCCUGGCUGUUGGAACUGUUAAAGGAAAUUUGCUUAUUUAUAAUCGUCAGACAUCUCGAAAGAUUCCUGUCCUUGGAAAACAUACUAAGAGAAUCACUUGUGGAUGUUGGAAUGCAGAAAAUCUGCUUGCUUUAGGUGGUGAAGAUAAAAUGAUUACAGUUAGUAAUCAGGAAGGUGACACAAUAAGACAGACACAAGUGAGAUCAGAGCCUAGCAACAUGCAGUUUUCCUUGAUGAAGAUGGAUGACCGAACCUCUGCUGCUGAAAGCAUGAUAAGUGUGGUGCUUGGCAAGAAAACUUUGUUUCUUUUUAAUCUGAAUGAACCAGAUAACCCAGCUGAUCUUGAAUUUCAGCAGGACUUUGGCAACAUUGUCUGCUAUAACUGGUAUGGUGAUGGCCGCAUCAUGAUUGGUUUUUCAUGUGGACAUUUUGUGGUCAUUUCUACUCAUACUGGAGAGCUUGGUCAAGAGAUAUUUCAGGCUCGUAACCAUAAAGAUAAUCUAACCAGCAUUGCAGUAUCACAGACUCUUAACAAAGUUGCUACAUGUGGAGAUAACUGCAUUAAAAUCCAAGACUUGGUUGACUUAAAAGACAUGUAUGCUAUACUCAACCUGGAUGAGGAAAAUAAAGGAUUGGGUACCUUGUCCUGGACUGAUGAUGGCCAGUUGCUAGCACUCUCUACCCAAAGGGGCUCACUUCAUGUUUUCCUGACCAAGCUUCCCAUACUUGGGGAUGCCUGCAGCACAAGGAUUGCCUAUCUCACCUCCCUCCUUGAAGUCACCGUAGCCAACCCUGUUGAAGGAGAGCUACCAAUCACAGUUUCUGUUGAUGUGGAACCCAGCUUUGUGGCAGUAGGUCUUUAUCAUCUGGCCGUCGGAAUGAAUAAUCGAGCUUGGUUUUAUGUCCUUGGAGAGAAUGCUGUGAAAAAAUUGAAAGAUAUGGAGUAUCUGGGAACAGUAGCCAGUAUUUGCCUUCAUUCUGACUAUGCUGCUGCACUUUUUGAAGGCAAAGUCCAGUUACAUUUGAUAGAAAGCGAAAUCUUGGAUGCUCAAGAAGAACGUGAGACUCGGCUUUUCCCAGCAGUGGAUGAUAAGUGCCGUAUCUUAUGCCACGCCUUAACUAGUGAUUUCCUCAUCUAUGGUACAGAUACUGGUGUCAUUCAGUAUUUCUACAUUGAAGACUGGCAAUUCGUUAAUGAUUAUCGACAUCCUGUCAGUGUGAAAAAGAUUUUUCCCGACCCAAAUGGGACCAGAUUAGUUUUCAUUGAUGAAAAAAGUGAUGGAUUUGUCUACUGUCCAGUUAAUGACGCUACCUAUGAGAUCCCAGAUUUUUCACCAACCAUUAAAGGUGUUCUUUGGGAAAACUGGCCAAUGGAUAAAGGUGUAUUUAUUGCUUAUGAUGAUGAUAAGGUGUACACUUACGUCUUUCACAAGGACACUAUACAAGGAGCCAAGGUUAUUUUGGCUGGUAGCACCAAAGUUCCUUUUGCUCAUAAACCUUUGCUGCUAUAUAACGGAGAGCUGACCUGCCAAACACAGAGUGGAAAAGUAAACAACAUCUACCUUAGCACCCAUGGCUUUCUCAGCAACUUAAAAGAUACGGGGCCUGAAGAACUGAGACCAAUGCUGACACAGAAUUUAAUGCUAAAAAGGUUUUCUGAUGCUUGGGAAAUAUGCAGGAUUCUGAAUGAUGAGGCUGCCUGGAAUGAGUUGGCCAGAGCUUGUCUACAUCACAUGGAAGUGGAGUUUGCAAUCCUUGUUUAUCGGAGAAUUGGAAAUGUUGGCAUAGUGAUGUCCUUGGAACAAAUAAAGGGAAUAGAGGACUACAAUCUUUUGGCAGGACACCUUGCCAUGUUUACCAACAAUUAUAUCCUGGCUCAGGACCUGUACCUUGCAUCCAGCUGUCCUAUUGCUGCCCUGGAGAUGAGAAGGGAUUUACAGCAUUGGGACAGUGCUCUACAACUGGCAAAGCGUUUGGCCCCAGACCAGAUACCUUUUAUAUCAAAAGAAUAUGCUAUUCAGCUUGAAUUCGCGGGUGAUUAUGUAAAUGCUUUGGCUCAUUAUGAGAAAGGAAUAACAGGUGAUAAUAAGGAGCAUGAUGAAGCUUGUCUGGCUGGAGUGGCCCAGAUGUCCAUAAGAAUGGGAGACAUACGUCGAGGGGUUAACCAAGCCCUCAAGCAUCCCAGCAGGGUCCUUAAAAGAGACUGUGGAGCCAUAUUGGAGAAUAUGAAGCAAUUUUCAGAAGCGGGUCAACUGUAUGAAAAAGGUCUCUACUAUGACAAAGCAGCAUCUGUUUACAUCCGCUCUAAGAAUUGGGCAAAAGUUGGUGAUCUUCUGCCCCACGUUUCUUCUCCUAAGAUCCACUUGCAGUAUGCCAAAGCCAAGGAAGCAGAUGGAAGAUACAAAGAAGCUGUUGUGGCUUAUGAGAAUGCAAAACAAUGGCAAAGCGUAAUCCGCAUCUAUCUGGAUCACCUCAAUAAUCCUGAAAAAGCUGUCAAUAUUGUUAGAGAGACCCAGUCUCCGGAUGGAGCCAAAAUGGUAGCCAGGUUUUUUCUACAGCUUGGUGACUAUGGGUCUGCCAUCCAGUUUCUUGUCAUGUCCAAAUGUAACAAUGAAGCUUUCACACUGGCACAGCAACACAACAAAAUGGAAAUCUAUGCAGAUAUUAUUGGUUCUGAAGACACUACUAAUGAAGAUUAUCAAAGCAUUGCCUUAUACUUUGAAGGAGAAAAGAGAUAUCUUCAGGCUGGAAAAUUCUUCUUGCUGUGUGGCCAAUAUUCACGAGCACUUAAACACUUCCUGAAAUGCCCAAGCUCGGAAGAUAAUGUGGCAAUAGAAAUGGCGAUUGAAACUGUUGGUCAGGCCAAAGAUAAACUGCUGACCAAUCAGCUGAUAGACCACCUCCUGGGGGAGAACGAUGGCGUGCCUAAGGAUGCCAAGUACCUGUUCCGCUUGUACAUGGCUCUGAAGCAAUACCGAGAAGCUGCCCAGACUGCCAUCAUCAUUGCCAGAGAAGAGCAGUCUGCAGGCAACUACCGGAAUGCACACGAUGUUCUCUUCAGUAUGUAUGCAGAACUAAAAUCCCAGAAGAUCAAAAUUCCCUCUGAGAUGGCCACCAACCUCAUGAUUCUGCACAGCUAUAUACUAGUGAAGAUUCAUGUUAAAAAUGGAAAUCACAUGAAAGGGGCUCGCAUGCUUAUUCGGGUGGCCAACAACAUCAGCAAAUUUCCAUCACACAUUGUACCCAUCCUGACGUCCACUGUGAUUGAGUGUCACAGGGCAGGCCUGAGGAACUCUGCUUUCAGCUUCGCAGCUAUGUUGAUGAGGCCUGAAUACCGCAGCAAAAUAGAUGCCAAAUACAGAAAGAAGAUCGAGGGAAUGGUCAGGAGUGAUGACAUUUGGGGUUCCUGUUCAUUACAUUAUGACAAGACCCAGGUACCUGAAUCUUGGACCCAGACCUUAGCCCAGGGAGAUACUGGAUUGGUAAUGACAAAUGGAAGCAAAUGACACUUCACUGGUAGCUGGGUUUGGGAACCACCCUCACGGCAGAGAGCUUUAAGCUGGAUAGAAGUACAUGGAAUACUCCUUUUUUUAAGCCUAAGUAGCUUCAGACCAAAUCAGUCUGACCCAGAAUACCUGCUAGCAUGGAGAGUGGGAUGGGGAGAAGCUAACCACAAAAUGCAAGAUCAUAUUUACCCCAACAGCAGAGAACCACGCUAGCUGGGGCUCUGGUGGGAGGAGAUGCUAGGCAUUCUCUCCCCAUGCACAAAUCGUUUAUAGCUAUGUGGUCCAAUAUGGUACCUGCUAGCCACAUGUGGCUAUUUAAAUUUAGUUAAAAUGGAAUAAAAGUUAAACUUAGUUCUUCGCACUACCCGUAUUUCAAGUGUUCAAAUGUGGCUCAUGGCUACCAUAUUGGAUAGCACAGAAUCCAAACAUUUCCAUUGUCACAGACAGUUCUAUUGGACAGUGCUGGUAUAACUUUUACCACUUCUGUUACACAAAAGGGAGACACAGAGGGAAAAUACCAAGCUCACCACUCCAGUAGCACAGGAAGAGAGAAGACCGCAAGACCUACCCAUGCUUUCUGCCGUUGAAUGUGCUAUGAACUCCAGUUCCCAAACGUGGCCCAUGUCACACCCUAGAACCUAACCAAUCCUAGGUACUCUUCCUCCUCCCUGGAGUGGAUCAAGGGCUGGUGUGAGCUUGUAUCUCUCUAAGCCCAGAGUCUGACUAUGAAGUAGGUGUGUCAUAUGUCCCUGGUUUUCCAAAUAUGCUUUCUGUUUGCCAUCCCCGGUACGUGAAUAAAACGGUAUUUUUAAAUGACAUGAUUCUUCCUCACAGGAGACCCAAUACAUCCGAGAUAGAAGAGGCCACGACUCCAUGUCCAUUCUGCAAAUUUCUUCUCCCAGAGUUUGAACUCCUCUGUCCUGGAUGUAAAAACAGUAUCCCAUAUUGCAUUGCAACAGGUCAACACAUGUUGAAAGAUGACUGGACGGUGUGUCCACAUUGUGACUUCCCUGCUUUAUACUCAGAAUUGAAGAUCAUGCUAAACACUGAAAGCACAUGUCCUAUGUGUUCAGAAAGAUUAAACGCUGCUCAGCUGAAAAAGAUUUCAGACUGUACCCAGUACCUGCGAACGGAGGAGGAACUGUGAGUGACAUGUGCAGAUACAAUGCUCCUGAGAAGACAGCAUUUUCCACAGGAGGCUGUUUCCUCCCCCAAUGGAUUUAAGAGACGGUCCUUACUGGAUACAGAGAAAUGAAACGGUGACCUCUCCAGGUCGGCACUUUCCGCUUCUGUACAGUGGCAAAACGAUGACAUGUAACCUUGCUGUUUAUUGUACUUUGCAUAUUUCCUCUUCAAAGUCUUACACACUCUAUCCUCUGCACUGUUAAUAGUAACCUACGACAUAAUUGUAAAUAUUCAGCUUUUUGAUAACUUUUGUAUUUUGAAAUACUUUAAAAUAAAAUUGUUGACUAGA
RNA transcript from Nomascus leucogenys (northern white-cheeked gibbon), 5388 nucleotides. It is a transcript of the gene named WD repeat domain 19, with no coding region annotated. The transcript has 37 exons. NCBI's taxonomy places the organism in Eukaryota, Metazoa, Chordata, Mammalia, Primates, Hylobatidae. The record is from RefSeq and is a predicted model, not a curated record.